Molecule: transfer RNA, 71 nt
Filed under: Strophurus intermedius (Southern spiny-tailed gecko)
Lineage: Eukaryota; Metazoa; Chordata; Lepidosauria; Squamata; Diplodactylidae
Description: tRNA-Gln
Rfam family: tRNA
About the family: Transfer RNA (tRNA) molecules are approximately 80 nucleotides in length. Their secondary structure includes four short double-helical elements and three loops (D, anti-codon, and T loops). Further hydrogen bonds mediate the characteristic L-shaped molecular structure. tRNAs have two regions of fundamental functional importance: the anti-codon, which is responsible for specific mRNA codon recognition, and the 3' end, to which the tRNAs corresponding amino acid is attached (by aminoacyl-tRNA synthetases). tRNAs cope with the degeneracy of the genetic code in two manners: having more than one tRNA (with a specific anti-codon) for a particular amino acid; and 'wobble' base-pairing, i.e. permitting non-standard base-pairing at the 3rd anti-codon position.
Source: RNAcentral
UAGAAGGUAGUAUAAGUGGUAGUACAUGAAGUUUUGGACUUUGCGGUGUAGGUUCGUGGCCUAUCCUUCUA